Molecule: ribosomal RNA, 279 nt
Filed under: Triticum aestivum (bread wheat)
Lineage: Eukaryota; Viridiplantae; Streptophyta; Magnoliopsida; Poales; Poaceae
Description: partial small subunit ribosomal RNA
Source: RNAcentral
AUGGCAUCUCCCCAGAUCGUGUUGGUCGCCAUGGUCUCCGUGAUGCUCCUCUCGGCACCUUAUGCCGCCGCCAUCACAUGUGGCGAGGUGAGCGGCUACUUGAAACCCUGCUUUUCCUACCUUCAAAGGGGCGGCCUUCCCUCGGCGAGCUGCUGCGCCGGCGUGACCAAUCUCAACAGCGCCGCAACUACCACCACCGAUAGGCGCGUCGCGUGCAACUGCGUCAAGAGCUCAAGGAACCGAAGCCAGCCACUCACGCUAGAGCGAUCAGACCGCUAG